AUACGUAGGGGGCGAGCGUUGUCCGGAAUUACUGGGCGUAAAGGGUGCGUAGGUGGCCUUUUAAGUUGGAUGUGAGAUACCCGGGCUUAACUUGGGGGGUGCAUCUAAUACUGGGAGGCGAGAGUGCAGGAGAGGGAAGCGGAAUUCCUAGUGUAGCGGUGAAAUGCGUAGAUAUUAGGAGGAACACCAGUGGCGAAGGCGGCUUUCUGGACUGUAACUGACACUGAGGCACGAAAGCGUGGGGAGCAAACAGGAUUAGAUACCCUGGUAGUCCACGCUGUAAACGAUGAAUACUAGGUGUAGGGGGUAUCAACUCCCCCGGUGCCGCAGCAAACGCAAUAAGUAUUCCGCCUGGGGAGUACGGCCGCAAGGUUGAA
RNAcentral lists this ribosomal RNA (377 nucleotides) under uncultured bacterium. RNAcentral describes it as "bacterial SSU rRNA". It matches the Rfam family "Bacterial small subunit ribosomal RNA", at positions 523 to 898 of the family's 1533-position model. The record is from RNAcentral.